RNAcentral lists this ribosomal RNA (253 nucleotides) under uncultured bacterium. RNAcentral's name for it is "partial 16S ribosomal RNA". It matches the Rfam family "Bacterial small subunit ribosomal RNA", at positions 524 to 776 of the family's 1533-position model. The record is from RNAcentral.
UACAGAGGGUGCGAGCGUUAAUCGGAAUUACUGGGCGUAAAGCGCACGUAGGUGGCGACGUAAGUCGGGUGUGAAAGCCCCGGGCUCAACCUGGGAAUUGCAUUCGAGACUGCAUUGCUGGAGUACGGAAGAGGAGGGCGGAAUUCCCGGUGUAGCGGUGAAAUGCGUAGAUAUGCGGAGGAACACCGAUGGCGAAGGCAAUCCCCUGGACCUGUACUGACGCUCAUGCACGAAAGCGUGGGGAGCAAACAGG